This is a long non-coding RNA of Herpailurus yagouaroundi (jaguarundi), 848 nucleotides long. RefSeq lists it as uncharacterized. NCBI's taxonomy places the organism in Eukaryota, Metazoa, Chordata, Mammalia, Carnivora, Felidae. The transcript is spliced from 4 exons. The record is from RefSeq and is a predicted model, not a curated record.
CCCCCAGCGCUUCAGCCCCUGGGGCACCUCCAGGGACUACUUGCCUCGUGCGUCAGCGAGUGGCAGAGCGUCACAUAUACGCCCCCCUCCGUUUUGCCCUACUCCACUCCUCCCCUUCUUUUUCCUCCCUCUCCACCUCCCUCCCUCCCCAUCUCUUCCCACUCCUCCCUCGCUCUCCCCUAGCGUGUUCCACGCGAGCAGAGGGACCCGGCGGACCCACAGGGCUCCAGAGCACCGAAGAGCUAAAAAUAUAACGGGUGUGCUAGCAACAGCCUUCCGAUUGGUCGGGGAGCAGGGAGAGGCGGUAUCUGAUUGGGUUUCCUUUCCAACAGCUAGGAUUAAGAAUGCGGGCCAAGAACGGAGGCGCUCGGCCCAAGGGGACAGUGUGCGUUUGCGCAGUGAGGCAUUGCAAGGGAUGCUGGUAUUUGAAGUUAUUCAUUAGAGGCAACCUUGGAAAUAGAUCCACUGCUCCAGCUGGGCAGGAACAAAGACAACCACAACAAAACUGACUUUGGAGAAGUGAUUGGAUGCAGGACAAAAUGAUUUGCUAUUUAUUCACCACCAAUACGGUCUAAAUGUUGUGUGAGAUGAGGAUGUGCUCUCUGUAACUGGCUGGCUUUUGCUGAGUAUGCUGUGAAUGAACAGCAUGAAGAGGAAGAUGGAAGGACUGGAAACUACUGCCGAGUAUAUGUAAGCUAGGCGCUAUCUCAAGCAUCCUCAGAACAUUCCUGUACGGUAUGAAGUAGGCGAAGUGAUGUCUACAAUAAUCCUCAGGAACAGAAUGAAGCAUGAAGAUCCAAAGGUAUCGAUCAGUUAACAUACCACAUGCAGAGAAGUCAGACAGUAAU